UUGCUAUUGGGUUAGGAUGCAAAAGUAAUUGUGGUUUGUGCCAUAAAUUUUACUGCAAAACCUGCAGUUACUUUUGCACCAGCCGAAUAUGUGCCAA
This 97-nucleotide microRNA precursor is filed under the name Chlorocebus sabaeus (green monkey). Its description in RNAcentral is "miRNA (ENSCSAG00000025273.1)". The record is from RNAcentral. Lineage: Eukaryota; Metazoa; Chordata; Mammalia; Primates; Cercopithecidae.